UCAAGUUACUAAGAGCAGAUGGUGGAUGCCUUGGCACCAAGAGCCGAUGAAGGACGUAGGAGGCUGCGAUAAGCCUCGGGGAGCUGUCAACCGAGCUGUGAUCCGGGGAUGUCCGAAUGGGGAAACCCAGCUGGAGUCAUGUCCAGUUACCCAUGCCUGAACACAUAGGGCAUGCGGCGGGAACGUGGGGAAGUGAAACAUCUCAGUACCCACAGGAAGAGAAAACAACAGUGAUUCCGCGAGUAGUGGCGAGCGAAAGUGGAAGAGGCUAAACCGUAUCCGCGUGAUAGCCGGCAGGCGUUGCGAAUACGGGGUUGUGGGGCCGUUCUGAGGAUUCUGCCGAAUCCUCGAAGAGUCAGAAAUCCAGGAUGUAGUCGAAGACUUUGGAAAGAGUCGGCAUAGCGGGUAACACCCCCGUAGACGAAACAUCUUGGACUCUUGAGCGAUACCCCAAGUAGCACGGGGCCCGAGAAAUCUCGUGCGAAUCUGGCGGGACCACCCGCUAAGCCUAAAUACUCCUUGGUGACCGAUAGCGGACAAGUACCGUGAGGGAAAGGUGAAAAGUACCCCGGGAGGGGAGUGAAAUAGUACCUGAAACCGUGUGCCUACAAGCCGUAGGAGCGUCUUGAGAGCUUGCUCUCUCCGUGACUGCGUGCCUUUUGAAGAAUGAGCCUGCGAGUUAGCGGUGUGUGGCGAGGUUAACCCGAGUGGGGUAGCCGUAGCGAAAGCGAGUCUGAAUAGGGCGAUUCAGUCGCACACUCUAGACCCGAAGCGGAGUGAUCUACCCAUGGCCAGGGUGAAGCGACGGUAAGACGUCGUGGAGGCCCGAACCCACCAAAGUUGAAAAUUUGGGGGAUGAGCUGUGGGUAGGGGUGAAAGGCCAAUCAAACUCCGUGAUAGCUGGUUCUCCCCGAAAUGCAUUUAGGUGCAGCGUCAUGUGUUUCUUGCCGGAGGUAGAGCUACUGGAUGGGCUAGGGGGCCUACAAGCUUACUGAACUCAGCCAAACUCCGAAUGCCGGCAAGUCAGAACAUGGCAGUGAGACUGCGGGGGAUAAGCUUCGUAGUCGAGAGGGAAACAGCCCAGACCACCAACUAAGGCCCCUAAGCGUGUGCUAAGUGGGAAAGGAUGUGGAGUCGCAUAGACAACCAGGAGGUUGGCUUAGAAGCAGCCACCCUUGAAAGAGUGCGUAAUAGCUCACUGGUCAAGUGAUUCCGCGCCGACAAUUUAGCGGGGCUCAAGCACACCGCCGAAGUUGUGGCAUUCACACACCUGCUAGGCCUUCGUGGUCCAAGCGUGUGGAUGGGUAGGGGAGCGUCGUGUGGCGAGCGAAGCGGCCGGGUAACCGAGCCGUGGAUGCCACACGAGUGAGAAUGCAGGCAUGAGUAGCGAAAGACGGGUGAGAAACCCGUCCGCCGAAUGACCAAGGGUUCCAGGGCCAGGCUAAUCCGCCCUGGGUAAGUCGGGACCUAAGACGAGGCCGACAGGCGUAGUCGAUGGACAACGGGUUGAUAUUCCCGUACCGGCUGUACCGCGACCCUGCCGAGGCAGAGGAUGCUAAGCGUCCGAAUCCGCUGCGACCUUCGGGUCAAGGUGGAGGAGCACGCGAACCGAAUCUGUAGUAGGCAAGCAAUGGGGUGACGCAGGAAGGUAGCUCAACCCGGGCGAUGGUUGUCCCGGGGUAAGGAUGUAGGGCGAGACGUAGGCAAAUCCGCGUCUCACAUGCCUGAGAUCUGACGCCGAGCCGAUUAAGGCGAAGUGAGUGAUCCUAUGCUGCCGAGAAAAGCCUCUAGCGAGUUGUACAGCCGCCCGUACCCCAAACCGACACAGGUGGUCAGGUAGAGAAUACCAAGGCGAUCGAGAGAACUGUGGUUAAGGAACUCGGCAAAAUACCCCCGUAACUUCGGGAGAAGGGGGGCCGAUUGAUGUGACGGGACUUGCUCCCUGAGCACCGGUUGGCCGCAGAGACCAGGCCCAAGCGACUGUUUACUAAAAACAUAGGUCCAUGCGAAGUCGCAAGACGAUGUAUAUGGACUGACGCCUGCCCGGUGCUGGAACGUUAAGGGGACGGGUUAGCGACUUCGGUCGCGAAGCUCAGAACUUAAGCGCCAGUAAACGGCGGUGGUAACUAUAACCAUCCUAAGGUAGCGAAAUUCCUUGUCGGGUAAGUUCCGACCUGCACGAAUGGCGUAACGACUUGGGCGCUGUCUCAACCACAGACUCGGCGAAAUUGCACUACGAGUAAAGAUGCUCGUUACGCGCGGCAGGACG
Molecule: ribosomal RNA, 2269 nt
Filed under: activated sludge metagenome
Description: bacterial LSU rRNA
Rfam family: Bacterial large subunit ribosomal RNA
Source: RNAcentral